RNAcentral lists this long non-coding RNA (259 nucleotides) under Hordeum vulgare. Its description in RNAcentral is "long non-coding RNA (HVUL_LNC015487)". The record is from RNAcentral. Lineage: Eukaryota; Viridiplantae; Streptophyta; Magnoliopsida; Poales; Poaceae.
CAUUUUCCUACUUAUAUAACUCUUUGGGGUCCAUACCGCACUUGGGGACGGGAUAUGAUUGCUUUCUUAAACAAACCUUUUAGAGCGUUGUCAUCUUACCAGCACAGGACUCAAUAGUAAGGACUGUCACUGCAUUGAUAUCGCUCAUGGAUCGUGUUAUACUUGGGAAGAUCCGGCCCAAGGGGAAGUCUGUUAUCCACAACCCAACCUUAGAUGAGGGACCCAUCCCUUCUGACGACCAACCUUGAUCUGCACUGGG